RNAcentral lists this ribosomal RNA (253 nucleotides) under uncultured bacterium. RNAcentral's name for it is "partial 16S ribosomal RNA". It matches the Rfam family "Bacterial small subunit ribosomal RNA", at positions 524 to 776 of the family's 1533-position model. The record is from RNAcentral.
UACAGAGGUCUCAAGCGUUGUUCGGAUUCAUUGGGCGUAAAGGGUGUGUAGGUGGCGCGCUAAGUCGGGUGUGAAAUUUCGGAGCUUAACUUCGAAACUGCAUUCGAUACUGCCGUGCUUGAGGACUGGAGAGGAGACUGGAAUUUACGGUGUAGCGGUGAAAUGCGUAGAUAUCGUAAGGAAGACCAGUGGCGAAGGCGGGUCUCUGGACAGUUCCUGACGCUGAGGCACGAAGGCCAGGGGAGCAAACGGG